RNAcentral lists this ribosomal RNA (453 nucleotides) under uncultured Prevotellaceae bacterium. RNAcentral describes it as "partial 16S ribosomal RNA". It matches the Rfam family "Bacterial small subunit ribosomal RNA", at positions 341 to 792 of the family's 1533-position model. The record is from RNAcentral. Lineage: Bacteria; Pseudomonadati; Bacteroidota; Bacteroidia; Bacteroidales; Prevotellaceae.
ACGGGAGGCAGCAGUGAGGAAUAUUGGUCAAUGGUCGGAAGACUGAACCAGCCUAGUAGCGUGAAGGAUGACUGCCCUAUGGGUUGUAAACUUCUUUUAUGCGGGAAUAAAAAAGUCCACGCGUGGACUCUUGCAUGUACCGCAUGAAUAAGGAUCGGCUAAUUCCGUGCCAGCAGCCGCGGUAAUACGGAAGAUCCGAGCGUUAUCCGGAUUUAUUGGGUUUAAAGGGAGCGUAGGCGGGCCUUUAAGUCAGUGGUCAAGGCGUGUGGCUCAACCAUACCACGACGUUGAUACUGGGGGCCUUGAGUGCACAUAAGGAUGGUGGAAUUCAUGGUGUAGCGGUGAAAUGCUUAGAUAUCAUGAAGAACUCCGAUUGCGAAGGCAGCUGUCCGGGGUAUAACUGACGCUAAUGCUCAAAAGUGCGGAUAUCAAACAGGAUUAGAUACCCUGGUA